This 360-nucleotide ribosomal RNA is filed under the name uncultured bacterium. RNAcentral's name for it is "partial 16S ribosomal RNA". It matches the Rfam family "Bacterial small subunit ribosomal RNA", at positions 338 to 709 of the family's 1533-position model. The record is from RNAcentral.
CCUACGGGUGGCUGCAGUCGAGAAUCAUUCACAAUGGGCGAAACCCUGAUGGUGCGACGCCGCGUGGGGGAAUGAAGGUCUUCGGAUUGUAAACCCCUGUCAUGUGGGAGCAAAUUAAAAAGAUAGUACCACAAGAGGAAGAGACGGCUAAAUCUGUGCCAGCAGCCGCGGUAAUACAGAGGUCUCAAGCGUUGUUCGGAAUUAGUGGUCGUAAAGCGUGCGUAGGCUGUGUCGUAAGGCGUGCGUGAAAGGCGCGGGCUCAACCCGCGGACGGCACAUGAUACUGCGAGCCUAGAGUAAUGGAGGGGGAAGCGGAAUGCUCGGUGUAGCAGUGAAAUGCGUAGAUAUCGAGAGGAACAC